Molecule: non-coding RNA, 418 nt
Organism: Sinocyclocheilus grahami
Lineage: Eukaryota; Metazoa; Chordata; Actinopteri; Cypriniformes; Cyprinidae
Source: the annotation of a RefSeq genome assembly
AGUUCAGUGAGUGAACAUGUUGAUCUAUAUUAUUAUACUGCUGUCAUCAACUGAAGGUUCCAGAGCCUCAGAAGUCAUCACUCCAAAAAGUGACAGAGAAUUUGCUCUUGAGGGUGACAAUGUGACACUCUCCUGUAACUACAGCGGUUCUGCUCGAGGUGUUCACUGGUAUCGGCAAUAUGCAGGAUCACCACCACAGUUCCUCAUACUGGAAGAUUCAGGGGUUACAACUCCAGCUAUUCCACCCGUUCCAGGAAUAACCAUCAAUCACAGAAAAACAGAAAGCCAUGUGGAUCUGAUCAUCUCCUCUGCUAAAGUGUCAGACUCUGCUCUGUACUACUGUGCUCUGAGGCCCACAGUCACAGGAAACCCUAUAACACUGUACAGAAACAGUUUUCAUAUGCUUAUCAAGCCUUGA